GACGUCCUGCCGGUGGUGGUCCGGGCUUUCGGUUAUGUGUAGGUUCGCCGAAGCAUACCGUAAGUUCCGGCCACCGAUUCAAUCCCGCCGCGGUGCUCUUAACUGAGUGUCGAGGUGGGCCGGCACGUUUACUUUGAACAAAUUAGAGUGCUUAAAGCAGGCUGAUUUCUGCCUGAAUACUGUGUGCAUGGAAUAAUGGAAUAGGACUUCGGUUCUAUUUUGUUGGUUUUAAGAAUCCGAAGUAAUGAUUAAUAGGGACAGGCGGGGGCAUUCGUAUUGCGACGUUAGAGGUGAAAUUCUUGGAUCGUCGCAAGACGUACCUAAGCGAAAGCAUUUGCCAAGUAUGUCCUCGUUAAUCAAGAACGAAAGUUAGAGGUUCGAAGGCGAUCAGAUACCGCCCUAGUUCUAACCAUAAACGAUGCCAGCCAGCGAUCCGCCAAAGUUCCUCCGAUGACUUGGCGGGCAGCUUCCGGGAAACCAAAGCUUUUGGGUUCCGGGGGAAGUAUGGUUGCAAAGCUGAAACUUAAAGGAAUUGACGGAAGGGCACCACCAGGAGUGGAGCCUGCGGCUUAAUUUGACUCAACACGGGAAACCUCACCAGGCCCGGACACUGGAAGGAUUGACAGAUUGAUAGCUCUUUCUUGAUUCAGUGGGUGGUGGUGCAUGGCCGUUCUUAGUUGGUGGAGCGAUUUGUCUGGUUAAUUCCGAUAACGAACGAGACUCUAGCCUGCUAACUAGGCGUUUCCGGUAUCCACAAUAGUGCUACCGGCGAAUAAAUUUCUUCUUAGAGGGACAGGCGGCUUCUAGCCGCACGAGACUGAGCAAUAACAGGUCUGUGAUGCCCUUAGAUGUCCUGGGCCGCACGCGCGCUACACUGAAGGAAUCAGCGUGUCUUCCCUGGCCGAAAGGUCCGGGUAACCCGUUGAACCUCCUUCGUGCUAGGGAUUGGGGCUUGCAAUUGUUCCCCAUGAACGAGGAAUUCCCAGUAAGCGCGAGUCAUAAGCUCGCGUUGAUUACGUCCCUGCCCUUUGUACACACCGCCCGUCGCUACUACCGAUUGAAUGAUUUAGUGAGGUCUUCGGACUGGUGCGCGGUGAUCGCCUCGGUGGUCGCCGA
RNAcentral lists this ribosomal RNA (1116 nucleotides) under Hypsoprorachis sp. MEM071 Evangelista. RNAcentral describes it as "SSU rRNA". It matches the Rfam family "Eukaryotic small subunit ribosomal RNA", at positions 658 to 1743 of the family's 1831-position model. The record is from RNAcentral. Lineage: Eukaryota; Metazoa; Arthropoda; Insecta; Hemiptera; Membracidae.